This 244-nucleotide unclassified non-coding RNA is filed under the name fungal sp. RNAcentral's name for it is "partial internal transcribed spacer region". The stretch from base 1 to 46 matches the Rfam family "Eukaryotic small subunit ribosomal RNA", at positions 1786 to 1831 of the family's 1831-position model. Lineage: Eukaryota; Fungi. The record is from RNAcentral.
AAGUCGUAACAAGGUUUCCGUAGGUGAACCUGCGGAAGGAUCAUCGUUGGUGUUUUUGUGUCUGUGGGCACUGACUUUUGUGUCUGUGGGCACUGACUUUUGUGUCUGUGGGCACUGACUUUUGUGUCUGUGGGCACUGACUGAGUUUUUCUUUCGAAUCCCAACCAAGAGGAGAGGAGUUGACUGAGGUUUGCGUGGAGGGAGAAAAGGACAAAACUUUCAACAACGGAUCUCUUGGCUCUCA